This 253-nucleotide ribosomal RNA is filed under the name uncultured bacterium. RNAcentral describes it as "partial 16S ribosomal RNA". It matches the Rfam family "Bacterial small subunit ribosomal RNA", at positions 524 to 776 of the family's 1533-position model. The record is from RNAcentral.
UACGGGGGGGGCAAGCGUUGUUCGGAAUUACUGGGCGUAAAGGGCGCGUAGGCGGCGUGACAAGUCACUUGUGAAAUCUCCGGGCUUAACUCGGAACGGUCAAGUGAUACUGUCGUGCUAGAGUACAGAAGGGGCAACUGGAAUUCUCGGUGUAGCGGUGAAAUGCGUAGAUAUCGAGAGGAACACCUGCGGCGAAGGCGGCUUGCUGGGCAUGAUCUGACGCUGAGGCGCGAAAGCGUGGGGAGCGAACAGG